This 1372-nucleotide ribosomal RNA is filed under the name uncultured bacterium. RNAcentral describes it as "bacterial SSU rRNA". It matches the Rfam family "Bacterial small subunit ribosomal RNA", at positions 28 to 1381 of the family's 1533-position model. The record is from RNAcentral.
GAUGAACGCUGGCGGCGUGCCUAAUACAUGCAAGUCGAGCGAACGGACGAGAAGCUUGCUUCUCUGAUGUUAGCGGCGGACGGGUGAGUAACACGUGGAUAACCUACCUAUAAGACUGGGAUAACUUCGGGAAACCGGAGCUAAUACCGGAUAAUAUUUUGAACCGCAUGGUUCAAAAGUGAAAGACGGUCUUGCUGUCACUUAUAGAUGGAUCCGCGCUGCAUUAGCUAGUUGGUAAGGUAACGGCUUACCAAGGCAACGAUGCAUAGCCGACCUGAGAGGGUGAUCGGCCACACUGGAACUGAGACACGGUCCAGACUCCUACGGGAGGCAGCAGUAGGGAAUCUUCCGCAAUGGGCGAAAGCCUGACGGAGCAACGCCGCGUGAGUGAUGAAGGUCUUCGGAUCGUAAAACUCUGUUAUUAGGGAAGAACAUAUGUGUAAGUAACUGUGCACAUCUUGACGGUACCUAAUCAGAAAGCCACGGCUAACUACGUGCCAGCAGCCGCGGUAAUACGUAGGUGGCAAGCGUUAUCCAGAAUUAUUGGGCGUAAAGCGCGCGUAGGCGGUUUUUUAAGUCUGAUGUGAAAGCCCACGGCUCAACCGUGGAGGGUCAUUGGAAACUGGAAAACUUGAGUGCAGAAGAGGAAAGUGGAAUUCCAUGUGUAGCGGUGAAAUGCGCAGAGAUAUGGAGGAACACCAGUGGCGAAGGCGACUUUCUGGUCUGUAACUGACGCUGAUGUGCGAAAGCGUGGGGAUCAAACAGGAUUAGAUACCCUGGUAGUCCACGCCGUAAACGAUGAGUGCUAAGUGUUAGGGGGUUUCCGCCCCUUAGUGCUGCAGCUAACGCAUUAAGCACUCCGCCUGGGGAGUACGACCGCAAGGUUGAAACUCAAAGGAAUUGACGGGGACCCGCACAAGCGGUGGAGCAUGUGGUUUAAUUCGAAGCAACGCGAAGAACCUUACCAAAUCUUGACAUCCUUUGACAACUCUAGAGAUAGAGCCUUCCCCUUCGGGGGACAAAGUGACAGGUGGUGCAUGGUUGUCGUCAGCUCGUGUCGUGAGAUGUUGGGUUAAGUCCCGCAACGAGCGCAACCCUUAAGCUUAGUUGCCAUCAUUAAGUUGGGCACUCUAAGUUGACUGCCGGUGACAAACCGGAGGAAGGUGGGGAUGACGUCAAAUCAUCAUGCCCCUUAUGAUUUGGGCUACACACGUGCUACAAUGGACAAUACAAAGGGCAGCGAAACCGCGAGGUCAAGCAAAUCCCAUAAAGUUGUUCUCAGUUCGGAUUGUAGUCUGCAACUCGACUACAUGAAGCUGGAAUCGCUAGUAAUCGUAGAUCAGCAUGCUACGGUGAAUACGUUCCCGGGUCU